This 223-nucleotide long non-coding RNA is filed under the name Lathyrus oleraceus (garden pea). RNAcentral's name for it is "Pisum sativum (pea) long non-coding RNA (PSAT_LNC007749)". The record is from RNAcentral. Lineage: Eukaryota; Viridiplantae; Streptophyta; Magnoliopsida; Fabales; Fabaceae.
CCAUGUUCAACCACCACCUUAAGAGCCCAAUCCAACAUGUUCAUUUCAACAACUAAAAUAUUAAUUAUUUUUCGAUAACUCAACAAAUUUACUAAACAUUACGCUAAAAUACCUCUGAAGCUACUUAUCCUUCCUGGACAAUUUGUUAUCUUCCUCAUUCACUCUUCUCUUAAUACUGUCUUGAAAUUAGUCAAUACAAUUUAACUCAACUCCUUCUCUAUCA